CAAUUAUUAAAGAUUAAAUUAUGCAAGGAAAAGUGUCUUUGUUUUCUGUCAAAAUAAUUUACCUUUUUUUUACAUAAAGUUGUCGAUAAAUAAAUUGGAUACCCUUCAUUUCAAUAGCAUAUUAUCAAAUUGCUGAAAGAUCUCCUACAUGUACUAAACAGGGAAUCCGUUAGUAUUGAAAGUCCCUGUCCUUAAUAAUUCAAUUUGUCGUUCUGCAUUAUUUUGGUGUAUGAAAGACGCACACAUUCAG
Molecule: long non-coding RNA, 250 nt
Filed under: Mytilus galloprovincialis (Mediterranean mussel)
Lineage: Eukaryota; Metazoa; Mollusca; Bivalvia; Mytilida; Mytilidae
Source: RNAcentral